GUAGGUGAACCUGCGGAAGGAUCAUUAUUGAAUAUUCUUGAUGGGUUGUAGCUGGCUCUCCGGAGCAUGUGCACACUUGUCUUGACUUUAUUCGUCCACCUGUGCACCUUUUGUAGUCUUGGGGGCUUAGAGCAGUCGACCAUCGGAUGGCUAUGGCCUUUCCGGACAUGAGGAUUGCUGAGUGCGAAAGCAUACAGCUCUUCUCAAAUGACUUCUCCCUCGAGUACUAUGUAUUCAUAUACCAUAUAGU
RNAcentral lists this unclassified non-coding RNA (250 nucleotides) under plant metagenome. Its description in RNAcentral is "partial contains small subunit ribosomal RNA, internal transcribed spacer 1, and 5.8S ribosomal RNA". The record is from RNAcentral.